UGUCUCUGCUAGGUAUAAGGUUUAUAGGAAAAUAAAUAAAUAAAUACCUCGCAGUUGAAAAACCACAACAUACACUUGGUGGUUUAAAUUGAUCUGUGUUUUUCCUUUCCCGUUAAAGGCUGAAAUUAAAUGCUUCUCUGGAGCAUUUCAAAUAUAUAUUAAAGAUUGUAAGCUCUCCAGGGCAUGGACUACCUUAAUACCUACCUCUUGAACAAUGCUGAGUGCAUGAGAACUGGAGGAGCAAACCUCAACAUUGGCA
Mauremys reevesii (Reeves's turtle) is the source of this 259-nucleotide long non-coding RNA. RefSeq lists it as uncharacterized. Lineage: Eukaryota; Metazoa; Chordata; Testudines; Geoemydidae. The record is from RefSeq and is a predicted model, not a curated record. The transcript is spliced from 3 exons.